AACCUGGUUGAUCCUGCCAGUAGUCAUAUGCUUGUCUCAAAGACUAAGCCAUGCACGUCUAAGUACAAACUAAAUGAUGGUGAAACUGCAAAUGGCUCAUUACAACGGUUAUGAUGUACCCGGGAGUUCCUAUGGAUAUUUCCAGUAACACUAGAACUAAUACAUGCUCCUGCGUUUAUUAGUUUCGCACAGUCCGUCGCUGAGUCAUGGUAAACAGUUGAUCGACUCGACGUCCCGGAACAGUUUCCGCCCCAUCAGCUUCGAUGGUUGGGUAUUGGCCUACCAUUGCAACAACGGGUAACGAGGAAUUAGGGUUUGAUAUCGGAGAGGGAGCCUGAGAAACGGCUACCACAUCUACGGAUGGCAGCAGGCGCGCAAAUUACCCAAUGCAGACACUGUGAGGUAGUGACGAGAAAUAAUAAAGCGGGACUUCUGUUUCGCUAUUAUAAUGAGGAAUAACCAAAGGUCAUUCCGAUUAGCAACUGAUGGGAAAGUCUGGUGCCAGCAGCCGCGGUAAUACCAGCGUCAGUAGCAUAUAUUAAAAUUGUUGCAGUUAAAACGUCCGUAGUCUGUACGUCGUCCCAAACUCACUGCAGUCUUCCGUUUUCUUCAUUGAAUGCGGUAGUUUCUGCAGUCACUCCCU
RNAcentral lists this ribosomal RNA (643 nucleotides) under uncultured marine eukaryote. Its description in RNAcentral is "bacterial SSU rRNA". It matches the Rfam family "Eukaryotic small subunit ribosomal RNA", at positions 1 to 708 of the family's 1831-position model. The record is from RNAcentral.